GACGAACGCUGGCGGCGUGCUUAACACAUGCAAGUCGAACGGAAAGGCCCUGCUUUUGUGGGGUUCUCGAGUGGCGAACGGGUGAGUAACACGUGAGUAACCUGCCCUUGUCUUUGGGAUAACUUCAGGAAACUGGGGCUAAUACCGGAUAGGAGCUCCUGCUGCAUGUGGGGGGUUGGAAAGUUUCGGCGUUUGGGGAUGGAGUCGCGGCUUAUCCGCUUGUUGGUGGGGUAGUGGCUUACCAAGGAUUGGACGGGUGGCCGGCCUGGGAGGGUGACAGGCACCAUGGGGCUGGGGAAAGGACCCGGAUGCAACCGGGAGCAAGAGGUGGGAAUAUUACACAACUGGGCGGAGGCAGAGUGCAGCAACGCCGGUUGCGAAAUGCCGGCUUUCGGGUAGAAACCAGUUUCUGCCUAUGAAAAGCGUGAGUGACGGUAAUGGGUAAAGAAGCACCGGCUAACUACGUG
RNAcentral lists this ribosomal RNA (467 nucleotides) under uncultured bacterium. RNAcentral describes it as "partial 16S ribosomal RNA". It matches the Rfam family "Bacterial small subunit ribosomal RNA", at positions 28 to 507 of the family's 1533-position model. The record is from RNAcentral.